RNAcentral lists this ribosomal RNA (547 nucleotides) under uncultured bacterium. Its description in RNAcentral is "partial 16S ribosomal RNA". It matches the Rfam family "Bacterial small subunit ribosomal RNA", at positions 355 to 895 of the family's 1533-position model. The record is from RNAcentral.
UGGGGAAUUUUGGACAAUGGGGGAAACCCUGAUCCAGCCAUCCCGCGUGUGCGAUGAAGGCCUUCGGGUUGUAAAGCACUUUUGGCAGGAAAGAAACGUCGCGGGUUAAUACCCCGCGAAACUGACGGUACCUGCAGAAUAAGCACCGGCUAACUACGUGCCAGCAGCCGCGGUAAUACGUAGGGUGCAAGCGUUAAUCGGAAUUACUGGGCGUAAAGCGUGCGCAGGCGGUUCGGAAAGAAAGAUGUGAAAUCCCAGAGCUUAACUUUGGAACUGCAUUUUUAACUACCGGGCUAGAGUGUGUCAGAGGGAGGUGGAAUUCCGCGUGUAGCAGUGAAAUGCGUAGAUAUGCGGAGGAACACCGAUGGCGAAGGCAGCCUCCUGGGAUAACACUGACGCUCAUGCACGAAAGCGUGGGGAGCAAACAGGAUUAGAUACCCUGGUAGUCCACGCCCUAAACGAUGUCAACUAGCUGUUGGGGCCUUCGGGCCUUGGUAGCGCAGCUAACGCGUGAAGUUGACCGCCUGGGGAGUACGGUCGCAGGAUU